CCGUAAACGGUGGGUGCUAGUUGUGGGUCACAUUCCACGUGAUCCGUGACGAAGUUAACACAUUAAGCACCCCGCCUGGGGAGUACGGUCGCAAGACUAAAACUCAAAGGAAUUGACGGGGGCCCGCACAAGCGGCGGAGCAUGCGGACUAAUUCGAUGCAACGCGAAGAACCUUACCAAGGCUUGACAUAUACAGGAAAAGCGUAGAAAUACGCUCCCCGCAAGGUCUGUAUACAGGUGGUGCAUGGUUGUCGUCAGCUCGUGUCGUGAGAUGUUGGGUUAAGUCCCGCAACGAGCGCAACCCUCGUCCUAUGUUGCCAGCACGUGGGAACUCAUGGGAGACUGCCGGGGUCAACUCGGAGGAAGGUGGGGAUGACGUCAAAUCAUCAUGCCCCUUAUGUCUUGGGCUUCACGCAUGCUACAAUGGCCAGUACAAAGGGCUGCGAUACCGUAAGGUGGAGCGAAUCCCAUAAAGCUGGUCUCAGUUCGGAUUGAGGUCUGCAACUCGACCUCAUGAAGUCGGAGUCGCUAGUAAUCGUAGAUCAGCAACGCUACGGUGAAUACGUUCCCGGGCCUUGUACACACCGCCCGUCAAGUCACGAAAGUCGGUAACACCCGAAGCCGGUGGCCUAACCGUAAGGAAGGAGCCGUCGAAG
Molecule: ribosomal RNA, 656 nt
Filed under: uncultured Actinomycetes bacterium
Lineage: Bacteria; Bacillati; Actinomycetota; Actinomycetes
Description: bacterial SSU rRNA
Rfam family: Bacterial small subunit ribosomal RNA
Source: RNAcentral